This 454-nucleotide ribosomal RNA is filed under the name uncultured Porphyromonas sp. RNAcentral's name for it is "partial 16S ribosomal RNA". It matches the Rfam family "Bacterial small subunit ribosomal RNA", at positions 341 to 792 of the family's 1533-position model. The record is from RNAcentral. Lineage: Bacteria; Pseudomonadati; Bacteroidota; Bacteroidia; Bacteroidales; Porphyromonadaceae.
ACGGAAGGCAGCAGUGAGGAAUAUUGGUCAAUGGGCGCAAGCCUGAACCAGCCAAGUAGCGUGAGGGAUGACUGCCCUACGGGUUGUAAACCUCUUUUGUUUGGGAAUAAAGGAGCCUACGCGUAGGCUUUUGCAUGUACCUUUCGAAUAAGCAUCGGCUAAUUCCGUGCCAGCAGCCGCGGUAAUACGGAAGAUGCGAGCGUUAUCCGGAUUUAUUGGGUUUAAAGGGUGCGCAGGCGGGCUGCUAAGUCUCCGGUGAAAUGUCAGGGCUCAACCUUGGCACUGCCGGAGAUACUGGCGGCCUUGAGAGUGGCGGAGGUAUCCGGAAUGUGUGGUGUAGCGGUGAAAUGCAUAGAUAUCACACAGAACACCGAUUGCGAAGGCAGGAUACCAUACCAUAUCUGACGCUCAGGCACGAAAGCGUGGGGAUCGAACAGGAUUAGAUACCCUGGUA